This 250-nucleotide ribosomal RNA is filed under the name uncultured bacterium. RNAcentral describes it as "partial 16S ribosomal RNA". It matches the Rfam family "Bacterial small subunit ribosomal RNA", at positions 524 to 773 of the family's 1533-position model. The record is from RNAcentral. RNAcentral also lists the same sequence under 1 other name.
UACGGAGGGGGCUAGCGUUGUUCGGAAUUACUGGGCGUAAAGCGCGCGUAGGCGGACCUGCAAGUCGGGGGUGAAAGCCCGAGGCUCAACCUCGGAACUGCCUUCGAUACUGCGGGUCUCGAGUCCGGGAGAGGUGAGUGGAAUUCCUAGUGUAGAGGUGAAAUUCGUAGAUAUUAGGAAGAACACCAGUGGCGAAGGCGGCUCACUGGCCCGGUACUGACGCUGAGGCGCGAAAGCGUGGGGAGCAAAC